This 253-nucleotide ribosomal RNA is filed under the name Coprococcus eutactus. RNAcentral's name for it is "partial 16S ribosomal RNA". It matches the Rfam family "Bacterial small subunit ribosomal RNA", at positions 524 to 776 of the family's 1533-position model. Lineage: Bacteria; Bacillati; Bacillota; Clostridia; Lachnospirales; Lachnospiraceae. The record is from RNAcentral.
UACGUAUGGUGCAAGCGUUAUCCGGAUUUACUGGGUGUAAAGGGUGCGUAGGUGGCAAGGCAAGUCUGAAGUGAAAAUCCGGGGCUCAACUCCGGAACUGCUUUGGAAACUGUUUAGCUGGAGUACAGGAGAGGUAAGUGGAAUUCCUAGUGUAGCGGUGAAAUGCGUAGAUAUUAGGAGGAACACCAGUGGCGAAGGCGACUUACUGGACUGCUACUGACACUGAGGCACGAAAGCGUGGGGAGCAAACAGG